Molecule: transfer RNA, 93 nt
Filed under: Agaribacter marinus
Lineage: Bacteria; Pseudomonadati; Pseudomonadota; Gammaproteobacteria; Alteromonadales; Alteromonadaceae
Description: tRNA-Ser
Rfam family: tRNA
About the family: Transfer RNA (tRNA) molecules are approximately 80 nucleotides in length.
Source: RNAcentral
GGAGAGGUGGGUGAGUGGCUGAAACCAGUCCCCUGCUAAGGGACCGUACAGUUUAUAGCUGUACCGAGGGUUCGAAUCCCUCCCUCUCCGCCA